UACGGAGGGUGCAAGCGUUAUCCGGAUUCACUGGGCUUAAAGGGAGCGCAGGCGGCUUUGUAAGUCAGUGGUGAAAGGCUUAAGCUUAACUUGGGAACUGCCAUUGAUACUAUAAGUCUUGAAUGUUGUUGAGGUUUGCGGAAUGGGUCAUGUAGCGGUGAAAUGCAUAGAUAUGACCCGGAACACCUAUUGCGAAGGCAGCAGGCUAAACAAAUAUUGACGCUGAGGCUCGAAAGCGUGGGGAUCAAACAGG
Molecule: ribosomal RNA, 253 nt
Filed under: uncultured bacterium
Lineage: Bacteria
Description: partial 16S ribosomal RNA
Rfam family: Bacterial small subunit ribosomal RNA
Source: RNAcentral